This 492-nucleotide ribosomal RNA is filed under the name uncultured bacterium. Its description in RNAcentral is "partial 16S ribosomal RNA". It matches the Rfam family "Bacterial small subunit ribosomal RNA", at positions 29 to 507 of the family's 1533-position model. The record is from RNAcentral.
AGUGAACGCUGGCGGUAGGCCUAACACAUGCAAGUCGAACGGCAGCACAGUAAGAGCUUGCUCUUACGGGUGGCGAGUGGCGGACGGGUGAGGAAUACAUCGGAAUCUACUUUUUCGUGGGGGAUAACGUAGGGAAACUGACGCUAAUACCGCAUACGACCUACGGGUGAAAGCAGGGGAUCUUCGGACCUUGCGCGAUUGAAUGAGCCGAUGUCGGAUUAGCUAGUUGGCGGGGUAAAGGCCCACCAAGGCGACGAUCCGUAGCGGGCCUGAGAGGAUGAUCGGCCACACUGGAACUGAGACACGGUCCAGACUCCUACGGGAGGCAGCAGUGGGGAAUCUUGGACAAUGGGCGCAAGCCUGAUCCAGCCAUACCGCGUGGGUGAAGAAGGCCUUCGGGUUGUAAAGCCCUUUUGUUGGGAAAGAAAAGCAGCAGGUUAAUACCCCGCUGUUCUGACGGUACCCAAAGAAUAAGCACCGGCUAACUUCGUG